GGGCGCAUAGCUCAGCUGGUUCAGAGCAUCUGCCUUACAAGCAGAGGGUCGGAGGUUCGAAUCCUUCUGCGCCCA
This 75-nucleotide transfer RNA is filed under the name Bacteroidota bacterium. Its description in RNAcentral is "Bacteroidetes bacterium tRNA-Val". It matches the Rfam family "tRNA". Rfam says of the family: Transfer RNA (tRNA) molecules are approximately 80 nucleotides in length. Their secondary structure includes four short double-helical elements and three loops (D, anti-codon, and T loops). Further hydrogen bonds mediate the characteristic L-shaped molecular structure. tRNAs have two regions of fundamental functional importance: the anti-codon, which is responsible for specific mRNA codon recognition, and the 3' end, to which the tRNAs corresponding amino acid is attached (by aminoacyl-tRNA synthetases). tRNAs cope with the degeneracy of the genetic code in two manners: having more than one tRNA (with a specific anti-codon) for a particular amino acid; and 'wobble' base-pairing, i.e. permitting non-standard base-pairing at the 3rd anti-codon position. The record is from RNAcentral. Lineage: Bacteria; Pseudomonadati; Bacteroidota. RNAcentral also lists the same sequence under 2 other names.